Molecule: long non-coding RNA, 465 nt
Filed under: Homo sapiens (human)
Lineage: Eukaryota; Metazoa; Chordata; Mammalia; Primates; Hominidae
Description: HSALNT0336512
Source: RNAcentral
GGCAUAGGAGUUGGAGGAGCCCUUGGCAGCAUUGAUGAGCUCCUCUGCCAGGCACUCAGCAAUGGUCUUAAUGUUCCGGAAGGCAGCCUCACGAGCACCUGUGCACAGCAGCCAGAUGGCCUGAUUCACACGGCGAAGUGGGGACACGUCCACAGCCUGUCGUCUCACAGUCCCGGCGCACCCAAUGCGUGUGGAGUCCUCCCGGGGACCACUGUUGAUGAUGGCGUUCACCAGGACCUGCAGAGGGUUCUCGCCUGUGAGCAGGUGUAUGACCUCGAAGGCAUGCUUGACGAUGCACACAGUCAUGAGCUUCUUGCCGUUGUUGCAGCCGUGCAUCAUCAUGGAGUUAGUAAGGCGCUCCACAAUGGGACACUGAGCUUUGUGGAAGCAUUUGGCGGCAUACCACCCUGCACUGUGAGACACUCAAAGGUGAGAAUCAGUCCUAGGAAGAUUGUGAGCAACCAG